CUAAAUCGAAUCGCCCGUGGUGGCGGCGGCGGCGGCGGCCUGAAUCGCCCCUGGCGGCGACCGACGCAUUCCUACGGUUUUUUUUCAUCGGAGCGGGCGGCGGAAGGCGGAGGGCGCAUCGGAGAGGGGCCUCUUCCUCGCGGCGGCAGCGGCAACGGCGGGCUUGUUCCUCGCGGCGGCAGCGGCGGGCUUGUCCCUUGUGGCGGUGGUGGCGGCGCGGCUGCGUGGGGGAAGGGAAGCAGCUGCGGCAAUGGCCGCGUGGGCGAAGAGAAGCGGCUUCGGUAGCAGAGGGGCGCAAGGUCUGCUGCCGCAACAGACGCCUAGGGUUCCACCUUCUCCAACCCUAACCAGCUCUGCCGCAGCCAACGAGAUCUCGCUCUCACCGUCAACACCAGCAAAGGCUUCAACCCGUCAUCCACCUAAGAGAGAAAACCUAUUGGAGAAAACAAUGAACUACUUUCCAGAGAGAUUGGACUUCUUACACGUUACCAUGGCUCUGUGAUCAUUUUGAAUCAGAAGAAUUUAAGGCUAACCGCUCAAACCUACCUUAUGUUCACAUGAAGGGAACAAAGUCAUUUGUAGCUGUUCAACAUGAAUUAGUAAGUCACUAUUACUUAUCUUUAUCUUGUGUCACAAUUGUUGUGAAAGCAGAAUAUAUAAACUUGUAGCUAUCUUAUAUUCAUGUCUUUUGACUUCAAAUCUUGUAUUAUCAGAAUUGUGUCAAUAUCAGACUGUACAAGGAGUGUUACUCUAGUGAUAAGAAGGGAUGGGCAUCAGAAGAUGCCAGGAAUAAACAUGUAAGUGCCAUGUAACAAAUUAAUUUCUGUUGAGAAAGAUUAAGCAAUGAGAAUACUAGACACAAAUGAGAACUAGAGAGCAAGAAAUGGGAGAAAUGACCACUGAAACAGAGAAAAAUAAUAGCUAGAGCUUAGAGAGGAAUGAUCAUGCUAUUUGUGCCAACAAUGGGUCGGUAAUAAGAGAGAAAGAAGUUGGCAGCUAUGCAGCAAAAGGCUUUAACCGUGUUUGAAUCUGUUUCACCAUGUGCAUGACAUAGGUACAAACUUUGAAGUGCCCUAUUUUCUCAUGACUUGUAGUAGAUGGUGCACUAUUAUUAGGACUGUAGUAAUUUAAGACUGAGAAAGUCAAUUUCUGUAAGAUCCUCAUCAAGCAUUGUCAUCAUUGGGAAUCAAAUAAUUUUUGCUUGACUAUAUGGUUCUUGUACUUUUAAGUAGUAGGGAUGGCAGAACUGGACUUUAAUGGCUGCGGUUGUUCAAAUAAUUCAAAGUUGUUAGUGUUGCAUUAUACUAACAAUAAAUUUGGGUACUUUUAAAUACAUUAUUAUGUUGCUGCAUUUAAGAAUGUAAAUGCCUUUCAUUUCUUGUAUUAUUAAUGCAGGAAGAAAUGUUAUGAACAUAUAAAGGAGGGCGAAGUACCUUUAACCGAGCAACAGAUUUGCGAGCAGGUGCUUGGUAAGGCAUAUGGUUACAUCAGAGGUCGGGGUCAUGGACGGCACUAGUGCGAGACGGCUCGGUUUCCCAACUGAUAGAUCUGUUUUCAGGUCAGGCUACAGAUCUAUUCUUCUGAUGGUUCUCUGGUCUCAGAUGGAGGGUCGAGGGGGUGAAGCAAUUUUGGAGAGGUGUAGAGGACAUGUGGGGAGUGAUCGGAGCAGUGCUAAACUUGAUUCUUUGCAGAUGCCAAAAGUUCAGUUUACCCAAAUGCCAAAAGAGUAGUUCCUGCUUUGUAAAUUUGGCUUGCGAAUACUAGAUGCAAAAUACUACUCCCUCUGUCCCAUAAUAUAAGAACGUUUUUUAUACUAGUAUAGUGUCAAAAACGUUCUUAUAUUAUGGGACGGAGGGAGUAGAAUACUUCCUAGUUGGUGAUUGGAUUAUAUGUUUGGAGCAGUACUAAAGUGGUACUUUACAAAUACUAGAAUGGUCUUUCCUAGUUGUGA
Triticum dicoccoides is the source of this 1951-nucleotide long non-coding RNA. RefSeq lists it as uncharacterized. The record is from RefSeq and is a predicted model, not a curated record. The transcript has 5 exons. Lineage: Eukaryota; Viridiplantae; Streptophyta; Magnoliopsida; Poales; Poaceae.